Molecule: ribosomal RNA, 444 nt
Filed under: Savignium crenatum
Lineage: Eukaryota; Metazoa; Arthropoda; Thecostraca; Balanomorpha; Pyrgomatidae
Description: partial 16S ribosomal RNA
Rfam family: Bacterial large subunit ribosomal RNA
Source: RNAcentral
GCAGUAUUCUAACUGUGCUAAGGUAGCAUAAUCAUUAGUCUUUUAAUUGGAGACUGGUAUGAAUGGCUUAACGAGAAAUUGACUUUUUUUGUUAUAAAGAUUGAAUUUAAUUUUUUAGUGAAAAAGCUAAAAUUAUUCAGAAAGACGAGAAGACCCUAUAGAGUUUUAUGUUUUAAAAAUUAAAUUUUUAUUAGAUUUUUGAAUUAUUUAUUUUUAUAAACAUUUUGUUGGGGCGACAUGAAGAUAAAUAAAACUCUUUAUAUUAAAAAUUUUUAUAAAAAUAUUUUUGAUCCUUUAUAAAAGAUUAUAAGAAAAAAUUACCUUAGGGAUAACAGCGUAAUCUUUUUUAAGAGUUCUAAUCGACAAAAAGGUUUGCGACCUCGAUGUUGGACUAAAAUUUAGGCAGGGUGCAGCAGUUCUGCUUUAAGGUCUGUUCGACCUAUA